Molecule: long non-coding RNA, 390 nt
Filed under: Homo sapiens (human)
Lineage: Eukaryota; Metazoa; Chordata; Mammalia; Primates; Hominidae
Description: HSALNT0196542
Source: RNAcentral
UCUGAGAUUUCAUUCUCUCACCAGGAUGCCAGGGCCUUCUGGAAGUGCCUGUUUGGCAGUUGGAGCUGGCUGGGGGCUGGGACGUAUCUGGACUGUCUGCCACAACACCAACCCACAGCCCCCUUUCGGGCUACUUGGACUUCCUCACAACAUGGCGGCCCUGGGCAGUCAGAUGCUUACACAGCAUCUCAGGGCUAUAGCACGAAGGCACCUGCAUCACCUUCUGUGACCUAGCCUUGGAGGCCACGCAGCGUCUCUUCUGCCACAUUCUAUUAGUUGUGAGUGAGUCAUGAACGUGCUCAGAUUCAGGAGGGAGAGAACAUAAACCCCACUCUCCAGCAGUGGGAGGUAAAGGUCAUAUGGGAAGAAUAUCUUGUGGGAUGGGAGAAA